This is a long non-coding RNA of Daktulosphaira vitifoliae (grape phylloxera), 1083 nucleotides long. RefSeq lists it as uncharacterized. The transcript has 3 exons. The record is from RefSeq and is a predicted model, not a curated record. Lineage: Eukaryota; Metazoa; Arthropoda; Insecta; Hemiptera; Phylloxeridae.
GUUUGUAUCAAUAAAAUGUUAUAAAGCAUUGUGGUGCCGGCCGGCUUUUGCGCUGACGCCACUACGGCCAGUUGGGCGCAUACAGUCCCUUUCAUGAAGCACGUGAGAUACCCGCUGACUACCGCGCGGUACGGUCCCCCGUAGGUGGCCGACAAACGACCUACGCACAAUAUUUAAGCGUCUGUAAUAAUUUCAUUUUUCAAUGUUCGAUUGCCAUUCCAAUCUGAUAUAAAUUGUGUUCAUAUUUUUUUGUCGCGUUUUAUUUUUUGUUGCAGUGGCGGCAUUUUUAUUAUCAUAGUGAUCAAAAUUUACUAAAUUUCACGAGUCAAUCGGAUUUUGUGGACAUGAUAAAAGUUAUAUGAAAAAACUUUCUAAGUACGGCAGCGCAUUGGCUCCAGAAAAAAGCUGCUGUAUAGAAUCAAAAACGCCACAGGAAGAUGUGCAUGGAAAGGAUAAAAUGAUGUUAUUCGAUUUUAACAUUGUAAUAUUCUUCAUUGAAUUAUGGAAAAGCGAAAAGUGAUAACAACUCGUUGACUGAAUUAUUAUUCGUGUAUUCAGCACACAAGAGAUAAUGAAACGGACCUGAAAACAUCAACUAACAACAAGAACACUUAUGUCUGACAAUAGUCAUUUUUAUACAGCUUUUUUCACUGGCUUGAUACUGUUAAAGUUUUAUUUAAAAUAACUUUUCUACAUUUUUGCAAUUUUAUUUAUUAAAAUAAACUUUAUAUCAAUGAAAAUAACCAAAAUAUUUAUCACAAAAAUGUGUCUUAUCAUAAUCUUAAAAAAUAAUGUCCACUAAGGUUAUAAUAUUUUACACCAUUUCAAAUUAAUUAGAAAAAAAAUAAUGUCGCAACAGUAAUAUAUGUAUUUUUUUAUAGUUAAUUUAUCUUGGAUAAUACGGCCGUUGGCUACAUUAUAUUAUAUUUGUUUAUAUAGUUAUUAUUAUUGUGUCUAUAUUUCUAAUAAUAACAAUUUUGCUCUAGAACAUGAUUACAUUCAGAUAAUGAUUAUACGUGUAUACGUACAUCAUAUAUUUUCUUGUUUACUGAUUGCUCGAUUUCGUAAAAAUUAUAUUCUGGG